RNAcentral lists this ribosomal RNA (253 nucleotides) under uncultured bacterium. RNAcentral describes it as "partial 16S ribosomal RNA". It matches the Rfam family "Bacterial small subunit ribosomal RNA", at positions 524 to 776 of the family's 1533-position model. The record is from RNAcentral.
UACAUGUGGGGCAAGCGUUGUUCGGAAUUACUGGGUGUAAAGGGUGCGCAGGCGGACUGGUGAGUCUGGGGUGAAAUCUCGCUGCUUAACAGCGAAACUGCCUUAGAUACUAUCAGUCUUGGAUAAGCGAGAGGUUCGUGGAAUUCCGAGUGUAGCAGUGAAAUGUGUAGAUAUUCGGAAGAACACCAGUGGCGAAGGCAGCGAACUGGCGCUUUAUCGACGCUCAUGCACGAAAGCAUGGGGAUCAAACAGG